RNAcentral lists this ribosomal RNA (460 nucleotides) under uncultured bacterium. RNAcentral describes it as "partial 16S ribosomal RNA". It matches the Rfam family "Bacterial small subunit ribosomal RNA", at positions 338 to 795 of the family's 1533-position model. The record is from RNAcentral.
CCUACGGUGUGCAGCAGUGAGGAAUCUUGGUCAAUGGGCGCGAGCCUGAACCAGCCAAGUAGCGUGCAGGAUGACUGCCCUACGGGUUGUAAACUUCUUUUAUAAAGGAAUAAAGUGAGGCACGUGUGCCUUUUUGUAUGUACUUUAUGCAUAAGGAUCGGCUAACUCCGUGACCGCAGCCGAGGUAAUACGGAGGAUCCGAGCGUUAUCCGGAUUUAUUGGGUUUAAAGGGAGCGUAGAUGGGUUGUUAAGUCAGUUGUGAAAGUUUGCGGCUCAACCGUAAAAUUGCAAUUGAUACUGGCAUCCUUGAGUACAGUUGAGGUAGGCGGAAUUCGUGGUGUAGCGGUGAAAUGCUUAGAUAUCACGAAGAACUCCGAGUGCGAAGGCAGCCUACUAAACUGCCACUGACAUUGAUGCUCGAAAGUGUGGGUAUCAAACAGGAUUAGAUACCCGUGUAGUC